AAAAAGAAGAGCACUUAAGGAAGGAAGUGGUCUUUUUAGUCAUGAUAUAUAAGUAAAAUGUCCCUUGUGGAGGGAAUAAGAACCAGGUAGUUUAAUAAUGAUAAGAACAGUAAUACGAUAUAGUUCUAAAGCUAGAAAAAGAAAAAGUGCAUGAAGCCAUGGUUGCUUUUUCUUGUCCUAAUUAGCGUAUAUUUGAUUGCACUUCGAAGCUUUUCUUUGACAAUUAUUAAUUCUAGCUAAUAGCAUCAAAGCUACCAGCAAAUCUCAUCUCAGGAGGAAGAUCUUCCACAAAAAAGAAAAGACUAAAAAAAGAAUACAAACAAGAAAAUCAACCAAGAAAAAGAAAAUAAAGAAAGCAAAAGCUACCACAAGAACUCUUUUAUUCUUCAAAAAUGGUGGACGUGGGCUUGCAUUUCUAAGCUAUAAGGUGCCAUGCAAAAGAAAAAAGAAA
RNAcentral lists this unclassified non-coding RNA (451 nucleotides) under Hevea brasiliensis (rubber tree). Lineage: Eukaryota; Viridiplantae; Streptophyta; Magnoliopsida; Malpighiales; Euphorbiaceae. The record is from RNAcentral.